This 740-nucleotide ribosomal RNA is filed under the name uncultured Staphylococcus sp. Its description in RNAcentral is "bacterial SSU rRNA". It matches the Rfam family "Bacterial small subunit ribosomal RNA", at positions 59 to 781 of the family's 1533-position model. The record is from RNAcentral. Lineage: Bacteria; Bacillati; Bacillota; Bacilli; Caryophanales; Staphylococcaceae.
AAGUCGAGCGAACAGACGAGGAGCUUGCUCCUCUGACGUUAGCGGCGGACGGGUGAGUAACACGUGGAUAACCUACCUAUAAGACUGGGAUAACUUCGGGAAACCGGAGCUAAUACCGGAUAAUAUAUUGAACCGCAUGGUUCAAUAGUGAAAGACGGUUUUGCUGUCACUUAUAGAUGGAUCCGCGCCGCAUUAGCUAGUUGGUAAGGUAACGGCUUACCAAGGCAACGAUGCGUAGCCGACCUGAGAGGGUGAUCGGCCACACUGGAACUGAGACACGGUCCAGACUCCUACGGGAGGCAGCAGUAGGGAAUCUUCCGCAAUGGGCGAAAGCCUGACGGAGCAACGCCGCGUGAGUGAUGAAGGUCUUCGGAUCGUAAAACUCUGUUAUUAGGGAAGAACAAAUGUGUAAGUAACUAUGCACGUCUUGACGGUACCUAAUCAGAAAGCCACGGCUAACUACGUGCCAGCAGCCGCGGUAAUACGUAGGUGGCAAGCGUUAUCCGGAAUUAUUGGGCGUAAAGCGCGCGUAGGCGGUUUUUUAAGUCUGAUGUGAAAGCCCACGGCUCAACCGUGGAGGGUCAUUGGAAACUGAAAAACUUGAGUGCAGAAGAGGAAAGUGGAAUUCCAUGUGUAGCGGUGAAAUGCGCAGAGAUAUGGAGGAACACCAGUGGCGAAGGCGACUUUCUGGUCUGUAACUGACGCUGAUGUGCGAAAGCGUGGGGAUCAAACAGGAUUAG